GUGGCGUUAUACGGUGAGGUGGGGUUACAUGGUGAGGUGGCGUUACAUGGUGAGGUGGGGUUUCAUGGUGAGGUGGGGUUACAUGGUGAGGUGGGGUUUCUUGGUGAGGUGGCGUUUCAUGGUGAGGUGGGGUUUCUUGGUGAGGUGGGGUUUCUUGGUGAGGUGGCGUUACAUGGUGAGGUGGCGUUUCAUGGUGAGGUGGGGUUUCAUGGUGAGGUGGCGUUUCUUGGUGAGGUGGCGUUUCA
Melanotaenia boesemani (Boeseman's rainbowfish) is the source of this 245-nucleotide long non-coding RNA. RefSeq lists it as uncharacterized. The record is from RefSeq and is a predicted model, not a curated record. NCBI's taxonomy places the organism in Eukaryota, Metazoa, Chordata, Actinopteri, Atheriniformes, Melanotaeniidae. The transcript is spliced from 3 exons.